GACUGACUGGCGGAAACUGGCCUUGGAGGGAGAGCACCUUGAGGGGCUCUCCAGUGGGGCUUGUAAAGGAGUGGCUUAAAUGACUUUUCUUGAAAGCAGAGGUAAGGGAAAGGCCAAAAAUAUUGUGAAAAGAAAUAAAUUGUAGUUAUGGGCCAGGAUGGGAAAAUGAGAAGAACUUGGAGAGGGGACCGCCAGUGAGACUGGAAACCACGGCUUACUGCAGUUUCUAAAUUCUUUAAGGAAACGCAUUGAAGGAAACCAGUGGCACAGCUAACGGCCCUUCCUUCUGGAGUUGUCCUGGUUUUAAAUGUCUUGUCGCCUGGUCCACAUAGUCACAUGGAGACAGGAAGAGGAAAGUCUCGAGUGUCCUCUCGCCCUGCUCAGUUUUCAGUGUGUGAGGCCCUUCGUGGUAAGCAUCUGUUGGGAGCCCGCUCAGACCCGUCUUGCGCAAUCCGUUUGCUCAGUAAUGACAUUCGCCCAGAGGCCAGAAAAACCCUGAAGGAGUCGGGAAGCUUGGUGUCGUCAUUCUUCCAGCUGCAUGUUAGAAAAGUAUUUGGUUCUUGACAUAAUGCUAUAAUCCCAGAAAUGAAAUUGGGACUACAGAGACAGUGGAAGAGGCCAGAGAAGAAAUCAUCAAGCUGAUGCUACAUUUCAUAUGGAAAUGUAACCCAGAAUAACCAAAACAUUUUGGAAAAGGAAGAACAAAUUUGGAAGAUACACAUUUCCUGACUUCAGAACUUAUUAAAAAAACCUACAGAAAUCAAGGUCCCAUGUGACAAAGUUUGGAUUAGAUAUUGCAGAUGGCUUCAAGGGGAUUACUUGCCAGACUUUGUCAUGAGAAGCAUUUGACGAGAAGGACAAAGUGCACAUGCAUAAGCAACUUCCAAUCAGAACCUCUGCACGGGCUUGGCCAGGUAUCCGGAAACUCUGGGAAGUC
Molecule: long non-coding RNA, 937 nt
Organism: Bubalus bubalis (water buffalo)
Lineage: Eukaryota; Metazoa; Chordata; Mammalia; Artiodactyla; Bovidae
Exons: 4
Source: RefSeq, a predicted model, not a curated record